GGAUGGGUGGUCGAGUGGUUUAAGGCACCGGUCUUGAAAACCGGCGAGGGGCGACCCUCCGUGAGUUCGAAUCUCACCCCAUCCGCCA
Molecule: transfer RNA, 88 nt
Filed under: Alphaproteobacteria bacterium
Lineage: Bacteria; Pseudomonadati; Pseudomonadota; Alphaproteobacteria
Also listed under: 1 other name
Description: tRNA-Ser
Rfam family: tRNA
About the family: Transfer RNA (tRNA) molecules are approximately 80 nucleotides in length. Their secondary structure includes four short double-helical elements and three loops (D, anti-codon, and T loops). Further hydrogen bonds mediate the characteristic L-shaped molecular structure. tRNAs have two regions of fundamental functional importance: the anti-codon, which is responsible for specific mRNA codon recognition, and the 3' end, to which the tRNAs corresponding amino acid is attached (by aminoacyl-tRNA synthetases). tRNAs cope with the degeneracy of the genetic code in two manners: having more than one tRNA (with a specific anti-codon) for a particular amino acid; and 'wobble' base-pairing, i.e. permitting non-standard base-pairing at the 3rd anti-codon position.
Source: RNAcentral